GAUGAACGCUAGCGGCAGGCCUAACACAUGCAAGUCGAGGGGUAGAGUUCUUCGGGACUUGAGACCGGCGCACGGGUGCGUAACGCGUAUGCAAUCUACCUUAUACAGGGGAAUAGCCCAGAGAAAUUUGGAUUAAUGCCCCAUAGUGUUAUCGAAUCGCAUGGUUUGAUAACUAAAGUUCCAACGGUAUAAGAUGAGCAUGCGUCCCAUUAGUUAGUUGGUAAGGUAACGGCUUACCAAGACAAUGAUGGGUAGGGGUCCUGAGAGGGAGAUCCCCCACACUGGUACUGAGACACGGACCAGACUCCUACGGGAGGCAGCAGUGAGGAAUAUUGGUCAAUGGGCGCAAGCCUGAACCAGCCAUGCCGCGUGCAGGAAGACGGUCCUAUGGAUUGUAAAGCACUUUAAGUGGGAGGAAGGGUAGUAACCUAAUACGUUGCUACUUUGACGUUACCGACAGAAUAAGCACCGGCUAAACUUCGUGCCAGCAGCCGCGGUAAAGUGACU
Molecule: ribosomal RNA, 507 nt
Filed under: uncultured bacterium
Lineage: Bacteria
Description: bacterial SSU rRNA
Rfam family: Bacterial small subunit ribosomal RNA
Source: RNAcentral